GAUGAAGAACGUAGCGAAAUGCGAUAAGUAAUGUGAAUUGCAGACUUCAGUGAAUCAUCGAAUCUUUGAACGCACAUUGCGCCCGCCAGUAUUCUGGCGGGCAUGCCUGUUCGAGCGUCAUUUCAACCAUCAAGCCCCCGGCUUGUGUUGGGGACCUGCGGCUGCCGCAGGCCCUGAAAACCAGUGGCGGGCUCGCUAGUCACUCCGAGCGUAGUAAUACAUCUCGCUCAGGGCGUGCUGCGGGUUCCGGCCGUUAAAAAGCCUUAUUUACCCAAGGUUGACCUCGGAUCAGGUAGGAAGACCCGCUGAACUUAAGCAUAUCAAUAAGCGGAGGA
RNAcentral lists this unclassified non-coding RNA (335 nucleotides) under soil metagenome. RNAcentral's name for it is "partial contains 5.8S ribosomal RNA, internal transcribed spacer 2, and large subunit ribosomal RNA". The stretch from base 1 to 120 matches the Rfam family "5.8S ribosomal RNA", at positions 35 to 154 of the family's 154-position model. The record is from RNAcentral.